GGAAGGUAUGCGUAACCGGUGUUGCGGCUGGGCUUCAAAUCCAGUUGGGGAUGUCAGACAUUCCCAGGUAGGUUCGACUCCUGCUACCUUCCGCCA
RNAcentral lists this transfer RNA (96 nucleotides) under Oligella ureolytica. RNAcentral describes it as "tRNA-Sec". It matches the Rfam family "Selenocysteine transfer RNA". Lineage: Bacteria; Pseudomonadati; Pseudomonadota; Betaproteobacteria; Burkholderiales; Alcaligenaceae. RNAcentral also lists the same sequence under 4 other names. The record is from RNAcentral.